This 450-nucleotide ribosomal RNA is filed under the name Listeria monocytogenes. Its description in RNAcentral is "partial 23S ribosomal RNA". It matches the Rfam family "Bacterial large subunit ribosomal RNA", at positions 1 to 444 of the family's 2925-position model. Lineage: Bacteria; Bacillati; Bacillota; Bacilli; Caryophanales; Listeriaceae. The record is from RNAcentral.
GGUUAAGUUAGAAAGGGCGCACGGUGGAUGCCUUGGCACUAGGAGCCGAAGAAGGACGGGACUAACACCGAUAUGCUUUGGGGAGCUGUACGUAAGCGUUGAUCCAGAGAUUUCCGAAUGGGGGAACCCACUAUCUUUAGUCGGAUAGUAUCCUUACGUGAAUACAUAGCGUGAGGAAGGCAGACCCAGGGAACUGAAACAUCUAAGUACCUGGAGGAAGAGAAAGAAAAAUCGAUUUCCUGAGUAGCGGCGAGCGAAACGGAAAGAGCCCAAACCAAGAAGCUUGCUUCUUGGGGUUGUAGGACACUCUAUACGGAGUUACAAAAGAAAGUUAUAAAUGAAGCGGUCUGGAAAGGCCCGCCAAAGACGGUAACAGCCCGGUAGUUGAAAUGGCUUUCCCUCCAGAGUGGAUCCUGAGUACGGCGGAACACGUGAAAUUCCGUCGGAAUC